RNAcentral lists this long non-coding RNA (3503 nucleotides) under Bemisia tabaci. Its description in RNAcentral is "lncRNA ENSSSA1NGG011377". Lineage: Eukaryota; Metazoa; Arthropoda; Insecta; Hemiptera; Aleyrodidae. The record is from RNAcentral.
GUCCACGUGGUCUGCGCCACAAAGGCCGCACUGCAUUCAUCAUGCAAGCGCCGCACAGCGCGGGGUGCGGAGGCGGGGGGAGGAAUUUGGGGGGGGGGGGUGCGGGGGGCGUCUGCUGACUCCAUUUGACUCACCGAUUCCUCUCGGCCGGCGUGGCAGCCGAGAACAGACUCCAUUCCUGUUUUCAUUCAGUAACUGUUCCGCCUCGGUCACCGGAGCUUGUACGCCUCGCGCUCGCUGGACUUCCAGCUCACCGUGGUUUGUUUAUGUUCCUUUGUUUCGGCAGCUCACCUUGUUCUUUGAAGUGUUUCCAUCCAAAAUUUUCAUUUUCCCUCGAGUCGGGAGGUUUUGCCAGUGGACGGUAGACCCCGCGGGAUUUCCGCGCCUGAUCCCAGUUUCUCGCGAAAGUGUACCUCUGCGUUCCGCAAGAAGUGAGUGGCCGCUAACCUCAUUUUUCGCAACGCUUCCUGGAUGAUCCUCGGCACGACUCUGGCUUCGGGAUUGUGUAGUCGCUCUGACGGCGUCGGAUCGGGUGCAUUUUUUGCGUCUGCGCGUUUGGCGUCGGGAGUUUGUUUUGGUCCGGCGUGCAGUGUUUGUUUACAUGAUGUUAUCGUGAUGUGUGAGGUGUGAAAAUGAACGAGGAUAUCGCUUUUCUGGACUGGGCCGAGAAGCUGGAUUCUGGCACCAAUCACUGGCUCCCAGCUUACGGCUUCCAGCAGCCCUCGCAUAUCCAGGAGGUGCUCUUGCAGGAGAGAAAUUCCGAUAAUAUAAACGAUGAUGACCAUGGAUGCGGAAGUGGUGGUGGUACAUUUCUUUUCUUGGAAACGAUCGUAGAAGAGACCUCGGACGAUUUGCGGAGCGAGAGCGAUUAUUCAGUAGGCCCAGUGGGCUGGCCCGACAGUGACAGCGAUGCUCCCUCAGUUAUACACGUUCCUAAUCAUUUUGAAUCAACUUCCGUGUGGAAUGGGUCCGAGCGCGACCUGGCUGUGCCGAAAAAGCGUCGGCGGCGUGGUGGGGGCGGAGGCGGAGGGGUCCACAACACGGACCCGGGGGUCCACGACGAGGAAGACGAGGCCGACGACGAGGAGCAACCCUCCCGAUCGUCAUCCCUGCUUCAGUUCGAGACGUUAGAGCGCCACUGUCUCGACUAUGAGACCGUCUUCAAGACCUCGGCCACGUCGGAGCCGUUCCUCCACGCCUCCUCCUCGCUCAACUCCCACUUCUACCUGGACCAACCCAAAUGGACCUUCACCACCUUCAAGCCCCCGAAAGAGCCCGACGAGGACCUCUCCUCGCUUUCCUCCCAGUGUUCCUCCACCUCGAGCCGCGAGAUCUCCUCUUCCGAGAAUGAGGCAUCGCUCCUGAGCCGCUGCUCCAAGUCCAUCUCGUCGCAGCCAGACCGCAGCACCGUCCAGCGAGGACCGUCCAGCCUCAGAACCUUCCGCAGCUUCGACAGCCUCGUCCCGGAUCGACCCAGUGUUCCUGAGAAAUCAAACGAUUUCGCCUCCCUGAAUUCCUUAAGGUUCAGCGACAAAUCCCAGAGCUUGAACCUCAACGAAGCGUUCCUGGACAGCUUCGAGGACGAACCCGCGUCGACCGUGAUCCCGGUGUCGCGGAGCUUUUACAAGACGGUGGACUGUCUGUCGUCCCUGGACAGCACGGACGCGAAGAAACGGGACAGCCUGGAGUACAAAGACACAGACCCCGAGAAGAAGGUCGAGCAGGAGGCGGAAAAAAUCCAGGGCGUCCAGAGGAGUAAAGACGACGCGGCGAAGGUGUAUCUCCAGAGAUCGGCCGAGAACCUCUCGGAGGAUUCAGGGUUCGGGGACGGGCACGCCCUGAAGGGCUCGGUGAGCAGUCUGUUGCAGCUGCGGCGUACGAGCAGCUCCAGCGCCGUCUUCCCGAUCCCCGAAGACGAGGCGGACUUCCAGUACUCCCCGCGCCCCGUCUUGCCCAGGCCGCCCGACGAGGGCACGCGACCGGCGGCGGCGGGCGCGGAGAAGCUAAAAUUAGCAAAAGGCGGAGAGGAAAUUCCUCGGGGAGAGGAAGGCCCCGCGGCUAUAAAUAGCUCUUGGCAAAGCGGAACCGCAGCCGACGGCGAUGUUGAGCGGGCCGCUUCAGUAGUGAGCUGUGCGUCGCCGGUGUCGUGCGGCCCGAAACCCUCCAAAGUCAACCGUAGCUUGUUGAGUGAGUUCAGUGCCAGUGAAAAAGAUGAAGCGGUGAUCCGGACGGAACCCAAACGCGAGCCACCGCCUUUACCCACCGCCCCAGUGCCGACGCGGGCGAGAGUCGUGCGGAACGACUCCUUCAAAAUGGCCUCCCGACUACCCGUCGUGUCGACCCCGAACCUCCACAACCUCAUCACCGACGAAGAGUUUGCCCAGAUCCAGGAGCACAAGACGCAGUUGUUGCAGGAAGAUGAGUACCUCUCGCGGUCGUAUUCGCUCAAAAAGAUGGCCACCAACUUCUCCGAGUCGAAGCUCAACAAAAAGAACUCGAAAUCCAGCGGGAGCAAUAUCCAAAUCACGACGAGCUUCGUGAACCUCAGCUCGACGACCAACGGCUCCAACAAAGGCGUCCACUUCUGCCCGAUCGUCUCGGAAGUGAGCUGGCAGGAGACGUACUCCUCGGACGAGGAGAGCUCCGGCGAGGAGUACGAGAGCGAGGACAACGAGUACUCGGAACUAAACGGAUCGGGCUCAUCGGGAUCCAGCCCGGAGAAGGAUUCGUCGUCGUCGCCGGACCUGGACGCCCUCGUCGAGAAGCUCCUGUCGAGCGGGAACAGCGGGGAGCCGCGGAGGGAAAUCAUGGAGCGACGCAACUCGGAGCGCGCCAAGAUGAUGCAGGAGUACAUCAAACAGAACAUAAUCGGCGGCAACAUGCACAUGCACGACCGCAGCUCGCCCUUGCCCUCCGCCCUGAUGGCGACGGCGGCGGUGGGAGCCCACGCUGGCAGUCACGUGGCGGGGCCCGUCCGCGCUCACUCGGCUCCCGCCAGCGCCGCGCCAGUCUCCGCCCGAACCAUGGACGAACCGGUCUCCAAGCGCAAGUCCAACAAGCUCGGCGGCUUCUUCCAGCGCUUCUCCUUCCGCCGUCGGAAACCGCGCAAGGAACCCGAGCAUCCCAAAGUGCGCGCUGAGGAUAAUCACCACAAUCUCAACCUCAAUAAUAAUAAUAACAAUUCGGAUAGUGCUGUGAAAAGUGCGGAGGUUCUGGUCAUACCGCUCCACGAUGCCGGAACCGGAACCGGUGUGUCCGACUCGGAGGUGGUGGUGUCGAGCAAGCCGCCGCUCCCCAAGUUACCGCCGCGGACGGUCGGGGUGGGUUCGUCGCAGGGGGUGCAGGGGGUGAAAAGGUCGCCUCCGCGUCGGCGCCCCGAGUGCGGGGAUGUGGGUUGUCGGGCGCGGGCUCGGGCGCCGCCGUCAGUACCAUGUCUAAUGUCGGCUCUAUCGAUCCAACGUCGCGGGUCGGGCUCCUGGAGACGGAUUUGGACUCGAACGUGA